This 722-nucleotide long non-coding RNA is filed under the name Taeniopygia guttata (zebra finch). Its description in RNAcentral is "lncRNA (ENSTGUG00000024495.1)". The record is from RNAcentral. Lineage: Eukaryota; Metazoa; Chordata; Aves; Passeriformes; Estrildidae.
GUCCAGGUGCCUCCCUGAGUCUGCAGAGGCUUGUGCUGAAAUCUCAAACCUGCUCCUUGCCCUUACUGAGGUCACAGCACAGCCACCCCAGGGAAAGUGCGACUGAGGCACUUGCAAACCACUCCUGCAGGAACAACUCCCCACAGCACCAGCCUUUGCCCUUCUGUGUCACCUGAGCUUGUCAUACCUCAUAUUCCACCAAUCAUGGAUCCAUUGGAGUGUGAGCUGGAAGGAAGGUCUGUCACUCCAAGCUCCCACUCAGGCAAUGGCUGCUGGCAGCACUGAACAGCCACAUCUUUCUGCAGCUGACUCUUGGAACCCUGCACACAUGCCUGGGCAACCUGGAAUGCCAUUGUUCAUGAUGUGGAUGGGCAGCUCAUGGGUACAGACAUCACAAGAAUGUGAUCCACGUCAGCCUACAGCAUCCAUAGCAGUGCACAGCAUUGCUCUGCUGAGCAAUAAUAAGAUCACAGUAACCUCACUAUCCCUGCAGAAGAGUUCUUAUCAGGAAGCAAAGGAUGUUGUUUCAAGUCAGAACUUGUGUCGUCACUGUAGAGCACAGGGUGAAAAGAGAGACUGCAGCACUUUCCCAGGAGAUGAUUGUUUUACAGGAACCCUGGGCAGCACUAUCUGUUGGAGAUUAGCUACAUUAGGACUCAACAGACCAGAAAACAUCCAGAAUAAUAGUCUUGGUACUAGCUUAUAGAUGCAGUGUAUUAAAA